UACCAGACUCCUACGGGAGGCAGCAGUGAGGAAUAUUGGUCAAUGGUCGGGAGACUGAACCAGCCAAGCCGCGUGAGGGAGGAAGGUACAGAGUAUCGUAAACCUCUUUUGUCAGGGGACAAAGACUGGGACGCGUCCCCGGAUGAGUGUACCUGAAGAAAAAGCAUCGGCUAACUCCGUGCCAGCAGCCGCGGUAAUACGGAGGAUGCGAGCGUUAUCCGGAUUCAUUGGGUUUAAAGGGUGCGCAGGCGGGCCCUUUAGCCGGGGGGGAAAGUCGGGGGGCCAACCCCCGCCGAGCCGUCGGAACUGCCGGGCUAGAGUGGGCGAGAAGUGCGCGGAAUGCGUGGUGUAGCGGUGAAAUGCAUGGAUAUCACGCAGAACUCCGAUUGCGAAGGCAGCGCACCGGCGCCCUACUGACGCUGAGGCACGAAAGCGUGGGUAUCGAACAGGAUUAGAUACCCGUGUA
This 466-nucleotide ribosomal RNA is filed under the name uncultured bacterium. RNAcentral's name for it is "bacterial SSU rRNA". It matches the Rfam family "Bacterial small subunit ribosomal RNA", at positions 329 to 792 of the family's 1533-position model. The record is from RNAcentral.